CUCGUUGAUAGCAUAGCGCUGUACACAAGCAAGUCCCAUUUGGUGAAGAGCAAUUCCAAAGAAAGCAGAUUUCUUGUCUCCACUUGCACGGAGUUUUGAUAUUGCGCUCUUGAAAAAUCUAUGUAUUUAUUUUAUAUUUGUAGGUAGUGGCAUCUUUGAAAAAUCGUGUGGAUUCUGCACCGAUCCCAGCUGCUAAGAAAGCUGAUAUUAGGACCAAGAUUGCCCUGCUUCAGAGUCAAGUGAGAAAAGCACAGAAGAAGAUCGCUGAACAAAAUUUACAGAAAGCUAUCGAGGUUACGAUUAUGUUUGCUGAGAAUCCAUUGUCAGAGGGAAAGACAUACUGUAUAUGCAAUGUCGAUGUUGGCUUGGAUGUAACUGCAGUUCGUGAAGCAGUCUCAAAAGUUAUGAAGGACAAGUUCAAAUACCCAUACAAGUUUUAAGGGAUAAAACCAGAUUGCAAAAUGGCUGAUGCUAAGAGGGCUUUGAUGGAAGGUGGUGGGAAUUUGAACCAGAAGUUUUCUGGGCGUCUGAUUCCAAAGAGGGGUCAAGUCACGAUGACUGAUUCCAAAGAGGGCGUCUGAUUCGAAAGAGGGAAUUCCAAAGAGGGCGUCUGAUUCCAGAAGUUUUCAUCUUUUUCAAAUUGUUAGGAUAUUGUUGAUGUGUUAGGAUACGUAUAUCCUAUUUUUUUUUUCUCUAUUAAUUUUUAGUUAUAUUUUAUUUUAUAAAUUAAUUUAAACCUAUAAACCUAUCUAUUAUUUAUUUUGAAAAAAAAAUAUCUAUGCCAAAAUUAUAUUAAAUAUGUGUAUAUCAAUUCCAACCUAAAAAUAAAAUACGCGUAUUAAAGAAUAUUUAUAUAUAUAUUUAUCAACUCAAACUCAUAACAUAAUACCUCUAAACUAUCAAUUAUAAUUUUUCUUUAUAUUUUUCUUCACUCUUCGUAUUGUCUUUCUCAAUUUCUUUUCUUAAUAUUACUUUGUAAGUAAUUUUCUUCACCUUCGUAUUGUUAUGUAUUAAAUCAAUUAAUUGUAUGUUUGCAUAACUAUUUUUAAAUGAUUCAGUAUGAAUUAUAUUUUGAAUA
Molecule: long non-coding RNA, 1078 nt
Organism: Cannabis sativa
Lineage: Eukaryota; Viridiplantae; Streptophyta; Magnoliopsida; Rosales; Cannabaceae
Exons: 3
Source: RefSeq, a predicted model, not a curated record